Paramuricea clavata is the source of this 477-nucleotide non-coding RNA. The record is from the annotation of a GenBank genome assembly. NCBI's taxonomy places the organism in Eukaryota, Metazoa, Cnidaria, Anthozoa, Malacalcyonacea, Plexauridae.
CGAUCAGUGUUGCUUAAAAAUGUCUAUGACAAGUAAGAUCGUUUAUAUUUCGACGAAAUACGUUUGUACGGUGUUUUAAACAUGACAAAAUUGUUGUUUUUAGUGUUGACUGUAAAUGUGGCGUUUCUCAAUGUAACAGUUGAGGUAGUAAAGGGCGAAUACUGUGAAACGUACGAAGACUGCCCGAAUGUAAGGGGAUGCUGUCGGCAGAACGAGUGUGUUAGAUGUUCAAACCCUGGUUGUAAAUCUGAUUCGGAAUGUACGCCAGGGCAACGAUGCUGCGAAGGAUCAAGUCAAUGUAAUUUCUGGUGUGCAGAAACUUGUGCAGCUGACGGAUAUUGUAUUGGAACCGGUAAAUAUAGCUGAUUAAAAUAUAUACUAGAUGAUAGCUUUACAGCCUUUACUUUUAGACUACAGUGGAAGCCCGCCAUACGACCACCUCGUUAAUACGACCACUCCGAUAAAUCAUAAUACGAC